GUUUUUAGUUUAUAAUUAAAAAUUCGGUCUGCUCACUGAUUAAAUUUAAAGAGCCGCAGUAUUAUGACUGUGCAAAGGUAGCAUAGUCAAUAGUUUUUUAAUUGAAAACUGGAAUGAAAGAUUAGACGAAAAAUUAUCUUUCUUUAUUUUAAAAAUUGAAUUUAAAAUUUAAGUUAAAAUUCUUAAAUAAUAUUAAAAGACGAGAAGACCCUAUAGAUUUUUAUUUUUAUUAUUUUAUUUAUAUAAAAUAACAAAAAUUUAAUUGGGGCGAUUUUGUAAUAUAAAAAACUUAAAUGUAUUUAACCAAAAAUUAAUGAAAGUUUAGAUCAAAAAUUUUUUAAUUGAGUUUAAAUUACCUUAGGGAUAACAGCGUAAUUUUAUUUAAGAGUUCAUAUCUAUAAUAAAGAUUGCGACCUCGAUGUUGAAUUAAGAAAUUUAUUGGAGUAGAAAUUAGUAUAAAUUAGUCUGUUCGACUAUUAAAUUCU
This 485-nucleotide ribosomal RNA is filed under the name Peripsocus subfasciatus. RNAcentral describes it as "partial 16S ribosomal RNA". The record is from RNAcentral. Lineage: Eukaryota; Metazoa; Arthropoda; Insecta; Psocodea; Peripsocidae.